This 136-nucleotide ribosomal RNA is filed under the name Sporolactobacillus nakayamae. RNAcentral's name for it is "23S rRNA. Bacterial LSU". It matches the Rfam family "Bacterial large subunit ribosomal RNA", at positions 2790 to 2925 of the family's 2925-position model. The record is from RNAcentral. Lineage: Bacteria; Bacillati; Bacillota; Bacilli; Caryophanales; Sporolactobacillaceae.
AAGCCCCCUUCAAGAUGAGAUUUCCCAUGAUUUUAAAUCAGUAAGACCCCUUAGAGAUGAUGAGGUUGAUAGGUCUGGAGUGGAAGCACGGUGACGUGUGAAGCGGACAGAUACUAAUCGGUCGAGGGCUUAACCC